UCUCCUACGGGGGGCAGCAGUGGGGAAUAUUGCACAAUGGGGGAAACCCUGAUGCAGCGACGCCGCGUGAGUGAAGAAGUAUCUCGGUACGUAAAGCUCUAUCAGCAGGGAAGAAAAAAAGUCUUUGGCUUUGGACGGUACCUGACUAAGAAGCUCCGGCUAAAUACGUGCCAGCAGCCGCGGUAAUACGUAUGGAGCAAGCGUUAUCCGGAUUUACUGGGUGUAAAGGGAGCGCAGACGGCAAGGCAAGUCUGAUGUGAAAGUCCGAGGCUCAACCUCGGGACUGCAUUGGAAACUGUCUGGCU
This 305-nucleotide ribosomal RNA is filed under the name uncultured bacterium. Its description in RNAcentral is "bacterial SSU rRNA". It matches the Rfam family "Bacterial small subunit ribosomal RNA", at positions 335 to 642 of the family's 1533-position model. The record is from RNAcentral.